UAUUUCAGGUUUUGGGGGAGGUAGAGAAUGUGAUGUUUGGCGAAAUCAGGGCAGCAACAACCGUUCCAAGGUGUAAAUGGCAGGUCCUCUGCCUUUGCAUUAUAGAUUAGGGUUGUACAAGAAGGAGAACAAGCAGUAGAGAGAAGAGCAUAAGCAGGAGCAAAAGAAAACGAAGAAGCAGUCAUCCAAGGCGCUGUACAUGCAUGUUCAGCUUUGUACUACAUUCAGCGUGUUCAGCUGCAGGUCAUUGAAAAAUUCAAGUAAUUGAGUUUGCUUACUAAGAGAUGAUUACUCACCUUCCUCUUUGCUUAUUUAAAGAUCCCAGGAAGGUAGCACAUUUUAUAAUAAUAAGGAAGUCCUAUGAAAGGAGACAAUGAUGAACACACCUGAUGGCUCGUUGUCUUUGCUGUCAGCGCUGAUGCCGGCGAGGCGACGUGUUGAUGGCUCGUUGCUUUUAGUUUCUAGUGGCGAUAUCGACGUGGCGACGUGCAAAGCUGAGUUGCUAAGCACCUUAUUUGACCGAAGACCUGAGAUACAUUAAGGGUGCUGUACAUGUGUAUUUAUAAAUAGGAUCAGACUUGGAUCCAGAUUCCUGUAGCUAGUAGGAUUGGUCAGGCUCCUCUUAGUUUUUUUUUGACAAAACUCGUUUAUAAUCUAUAUAAAAGAUAGUGUUCCUUUUGUUUCUCGCUUAGCAGGCUAGCUAGUGGAGCUGGUUUUGCGAGCGUACUCAAACUGCACGGCCAUGGUUCGAGUCCUAUGAUGAGCGCAAUUUUUUUUCUCCAACGUAAAAACGACGGACGAAAAAAAAGAGGACGUAUGAAAAACAGCUUGAUGGACAAAUAAAAGUGAAGAAACGACCCGUCCUUUAAUAUUAGGGAGAGAAGAGAUAGAUAAUCACAAAUACACUAAUUACUUCUUUAAUUUGUUGAGGGGUCAAAAACUAAUUAACAAUUUGGCUUAAGCUGCGUUGGCAUCCAGACUUGCUACUAUCUCAUUUCAAUAGCAGCCAGUAUACCAUUUGUCACUACAAAGACAGAAAAAAGAAAAGGGAAGAGGGGGAACCUGCAGGUGACUAUGAUGAGCGCAAUUUUUUUUCUCCAACGUAAAAACGACGGACGAAAAAAAAGAGGACGUAUGAAAAACAGCUUGAUGGACAAAUAAAAGUGAAGAAACGACCCGUCCUUUAAUAUUAGGGAGAGAAGAGAUAGAUAAUCACAAAUACACUAAUUACUUCUUUAAUUUGUUGAGGGGUCAAAAACUAAUUAACAAUUUGGCUUAAGCUGCGUUGGCAUCCAGACUUACUACUAUCUCAUUUCAAUAGCAGCCAGUAUACCAUUUGUCACUACAAAGACAGAAAAAAGAAAAGGGAAGAGGGGGAACCUGCA
Molecule: long non-coding RNA, 1385 nt
Organism: Triticum dicoccoides
Lineage: Eukaryota; Viridiplantae; Streptophyta; Magnoliopsida; Poales; Poaceae
Exons: 3
Source: RefSeq, a predicted model, not a curated record